GAUGAACGCUGGCGGCGUGCCUAAUACAUGCAAGUCGAGCGAACGGACGAGAAGCUUGCUUCUCUGAUGUUAGCGGCGGACGGGUGAGUAACACGUGGAUAACCUACCUAUAAGACUGGGAUAACUUCGGGAAACCGGAGCUAAUACCGGAUGAUAUUUUGAACCGCAUGGUUCAAAAGUGAAAGACGGUCUUGCUGUCACUUAUAGAUGGAUCCGCGCUGCAUUGGCUAGUUGGUAAGGUAACGGCUUACCAAGGCAACGAUGCAUAGCCGACCUGAGAGGGUGAUCGGCAACACUGGACCUGAGAACCGGCCAAGACUCUUACGGGAGGCACAGGUAGGGAAUCUUCCGCAAUGGGGGAAAGCCUGACGGAGCAACGCCGGGUGAGUGAUGAAGGUCUUCGGAUCGUAAAACUCUGUUAUUAGGGAAGAACACAUGUGUAAGUAACUGUGCACAUCUUGACGGAACCGAAUCAGAAAGCCACGGUUAACUCCGU
This 496-nucleotide ribosomal RNA is filed under the name uncultured bacterium. Its description in RNAcentral is "partial 16S ribosomal RNA". It matches the Rfam family "Bacterial small subunit ribosomal RNA", at positions 28 to 506 of the family's 1533-position model. The record is from RNAcentral.